GGUGGGGUAGCGAAGUGGCCAAACGCAUUAGACUGUAAAUCUAACGGCUCACGCCUUCGAAGGUUCGAAUCCUUCCCCCACCACCA
This 86-nucleotide transfer RNA is filed under the name Verrucomicrobiota bacterium. RNAcentral describes it as "Verrucomicrobia bacterium (freshwater metagenome) tRNA-Tyr". It matches the Rfam family "tRNA". From Rfam's summary of the family: Transfer RNA (tRNA) molecules are approximately 80 nucleotides in length. Their secondary structure includes four short double-helical elements and three loops (D, anti-codon, and T loops). Further hydrogen bonds mediate the characteristic L-shaped molecular structure. tRNAs have two regions of fundamental functional importance: the anti-codon, which is responsible for specific mRNA codon recognition, and the 3' end, to which the tRNAs corresponding amino acid is attached (by aminoacyl-tRNA synthetases). tRNAs cope with the degeneracy of the genetic code in two manners: having more than one tRNA (with a specific anti-codon) for a particular amino acid; and 'wobble' base-pairing, i.e. permitting non-standard base-pairing at the 3rd anti-codon position. Lineage: Bacteria; Pseudomonadati; Verrucomicrobiota. The record is from RNAcentral.